Cuculus canorus (common cuckoo) is the source of this 1115-nucleotide long non-coding RNA. RefSeq lists it as uncharacterized. The transcript has 3 exons. NCBI's taxonomy places the organism in Eukaryota, Metazoa, Chordata, Aves, Cuculiformes, Cuculidae. The record is from RefSeq and is a predicted model, not a curated record.
ACAAGCAACCAACAAAAAAUUAUCUGUCUGUGGGGAGAUACUCUGCUGCAAGUUCUUAACUUCUUUUUGGCAGGUCUGUGGCUGUCAGUGACACACUGCUGCUUUUCACAUCAGCUUUUCUACUACCUACCCAGGAAACUGAGGAUCAUAGCAAACAAUCCCAGCAUCUGAGCGUCCCAAGGACGAUGGCCCUACCGCUGAAAAAAGUCCUAGGGAGUUCCUGUAACAUCCAGCUGCAGACAGGGAGAUAUUUCUAGUACAUGGAAGAGAAUCACAUGCAUGAAUGACAGAGUAUGUCAGAAUGUCAAGUAGGCACUAAGAAAAGCAGGAAAGUGGGAUUAAAAUACCACUCUUGCACUACUACAGAAGCAGAACCUGAUUGCUGGCAAAGAAGUUCACCUGGAGAUCUGCCAGCAAAGCACAAAGCCUCUAACACAACUCCACAACACUGGAGCUUUAUUACACAGAAACAAGGAAAAUGAAGACAUACUAACUUUGGAAAAGGCAGGUCUGGAAUCCUGUUCUAAGUGAUAACUACAAAAAUGUCUACCUUGAAGGUGUCACACUACAUCACGAUGAUGACCGUCCAAGAUCCACUCUUAAAAGCAGCAUUUUGUAUCAGUGUGAUUCAACAGUUCAAACCAGUCUGCACCUUGCCUAGUGUCCUUCUACUCAGUGAGGGCAGAAAAUCACUGCUGGGGCAGGGCGGACUGCCAGGGGGGCCAAACCUUCCUCUCUGCGUGGCACAAACCAGAGCUAAGAAGCUGCCCUUGUCAACAACUAGCCCAUGAACAUGACCAUGAGCUGCGAACUCACUCCAGUUCAGCCACUCUUUCGUAUCUAAAGAUCCACAGACUUCUUCAAGUAAAUUACCUCAGCUAAUUGAAGUUGUGUCAAUGACUAAAGGGCCAUCAUUAACCGCUUCUAUGCUGUCUUUUUUCUCUUGUCAAUGUGCAAAGUAAUCAUAAGAGCGCAAAGCAAUCAUAAAUUCCCUAUCAUUUUUGUCCUUUUGCUGUUUGGCCUACAUUCUUUAAUUUCCUCUCUCACACUCAGCAUAAUCCGUUUCAGUUACUUCCUUCUUUGACCACAACAGGAUCCAUGGGGAAGCUAACCAC